Molecule: long non-coding RNA, 1046 nt
Filed under: Homo sapiens (human)
Lineage: Eukaryota; Metazoa; Chordata; Mammalia; Primates; Hominidae
Description: HSALNT0230637
Source: RNAcentral
CAAAGGCUCCUCCCCAGCCCAGGUCACCUUGGUCACCUCCUCCGGGAAGCCUUUCAUGCCUUUCUGCUCUGGCCUCCCACUUUGGAGUGUGGCCUCUCUUACCAGCCUGCCUCCUCCCUCCCCACACCCCGUCAGUUCUCCCAGGGCAGAGGCUGUUUCCUAUUCUGCGCAGCGUUUCCGGCACCCAGCCAGGCUUAAAGUUAAUCCUAAAGAAGUGUGAUGAUGGUGGAAGCCUGUGGCCAAGACUGAUCAUUGGUGGAGAUAGUUUGGUUGUACAAUGGGUCUCUAUCUGUGAGUAGAGCCAACUUUCUUGAGAUGUGGGAACAGAAGCCCUCCUGAAUGGAUUCAACAUGACAACUUGCCUUCACCUCUCUUAGGUACUUGUCUAAGAUCCCCCUUUCUGGAAAACUCCAGCCAGAGAGCAAGUCUGAGAUUGGGAGAAGUGAAAAGCAGGAGCUCUCUCUUUGCCUGCUGCCAUCCACGUAAGAUGUGACUUGCUCCUCCUUGCCUUCUGCCACGAUUGUGAGACUUCUCCAUCCACGUGCAACUUAGCUGGAAUGAACUAAGACAAGUGGGAUAUGAAGUUGAAAGGAAGACAAAGAACAUCUUGCAGUACCUGAAGACACAGGCUACAGAAUUUGAAUUUUGUUCUAAUCUCAAUAGGAAUCUACUAUAGGGUUCUAAACAAGAGAAUGAGAACCUCUGAUUUAUUUGUUUUUAUUUUUAUGUUUAGGGCAGAGUUUCACUCUGUCACCCAGGCCGGAGUACAGAGGUGCAAUCACAUCUCACUGGAACCUCAAACUUCCAGGCUCAAGCAAUUCCCCUACCUCAGCCUGCCAAGUAGCUGGGAUGCCUGCCACCAUGCCCUGUUAAUUUUUAAUUUUUUUUGUAGAGAUGGGUCUUGCUAUGUUGCCCAGGCUGGUCUCAAACACCGGGCCUCAAGUGAUCCUCCUGCCUAGGCCUCCCAAAGCACUGGGAUUACAGAGACGAGCCACCAUGUCCAGCCUGACUUAUCUUUUUUUAUCUUUCUUUUUUUGUUAUACUUU